RNAcentral lists this ribosomal RNA (1664 nucleotides) under Mammaliicoccus sciuri. Its description in RNAcentral is "partial 23S ribosomal RNA". It matches the Rfam family "Bacterial large subunit ribosomal RNA", at positions 1263 to 2925 of the family's 2925-position model. Lineage: Bacteria; Bacillati; Bacillota; Bacilli; Caryophanales; Staphylococcaceae. The record is from RNAcentral.
GUAAGGACAUGUGGAAUGUUUAGAAGUGAGAAUGCCGGUGUGAGUAGCGAAAGAUGGGUGAGAAUCCCAUCCACCGAUUGACUAAGGUUUCCAGAGGAAGGCUCGUCCGCUCUGGGUUAGUCGGGACCUAAGCCGAGGCCGAUAGGCGUAGGCGAUGGAUAACAGGUAGAUAUUCCUGUACCACCUAUGAUUGUUUGAACGAUGGGGGGACGCAGUAGGAUAGGCGAAGCGUGCUGUUGGAGUGCACGUCCAAGCAAUAAGACUGAGUGUUAGGCAAAUCCGGCACUCGUAAGGUUGAGUUGUGAUGGGGAGUUGGAUCAUGUAUCCGACGAGUCGUUGAUUUCACACUGCCAAGAAAAGCCUCUAGUUAGAAAAUAGGUGCCCGUACCGCAAACCGACACAGGUAGUCAAGAUGAGAAUUCUAAGGUGAGCGAGCGAACUCUCGUUAAGGAACUCGGCAAAAUGACCCCGUAACUUCGGGAGAAGGGGUGCUUUUUAGGGUGCAAGCCUUGAAGAGCCGCAGUGAAUAGGCCCAAGCGACUGUUUAUCAAAAACACAGGUCUCUGCUAAACCGUAAGGUGAUGUAUAGGGGCUGACGCCUGCCCGGUGCUGGAAGGUUAAGAGGAGUGGUUAGCUUCUGCGAAGCUACGAAUCGAAGCCCCAGUAAACGGCGGCCGUAACUAUAACGGUCCUAAGGUAGCGAAAUUCCUUGUCGGGUAAGUUCCGACCCGCACGAAAGGCGUAACGAUUUGGGCACUGUCUCAACGAGAGACUCGGUGAAAUCAUAGUACCUGUGAAGAUGCAGGUUACCCGCGACAGGACGGAAAGACCCCGUGGAGCUUUACUGUAGCCUGAUAUUGAAAUUUGGCACAGCUUGUACAGGAUAGGUAGGAGCCUUUGAAACGUGAGCGCUAGCUUACGUGGAGGCGCUGGUGGGAUACUACCCUGGCUGUGUUGACUUUCUAACCCGCACCAUUUGAUCAUGGUGGGAGACAGUGUCAGGCGGGCAGUUUGACUGGGGCGGUCGCCUCCUAAAGAGUAACGGAGGCGCUCAAAGGUUCCCUCAGAAUGGUUGGAAAUCAUUCGCAGAGUGUAAAGGCACAAGGGAGCUUGACUGCGAGACCUACAAGUCGAGCAGGGUCGAAAGACGGACUUAGUGAUCCGGUGGUUCCGCAUGGAAGGGCCAUCGCUCAACGGAUAAAAGCUACCCCGGGGAUAACAGGCUUAUCUCCCCCAAGAGUUCACAUCGACGGGGAGGUUUGGCACCUCGAUGUCGGCUCAUCGCAUCCUGGGGCUGUAGUCGGUCCCAAGGGUUGGGCUGUUCGCCCAUUAAAGCGGUACGCGAGCUGGGUUCAGAACGUCGUGAGACAGUUCGGUCCCUAUCCGUCGUGGGCGUAGGAAAUUUGAGAGGAGCUGUCCUUAGUACGAGAGGACCGGGAUGGACAUACCUCUGGUGUACCAGUUGUCGCGCCAGCGGCAUAGCUGGGUAGCUAUGUAUGGACGGGAUAAGUGCUGAAAGCAUCUAAGCAUGAAGCCCCCCUCAAGAUGAGAUUUCCCAACUUCGGUUAUAAGAUCCCUCAAAGAUGAUGAGGUUAAUAGGUUCGGGGUGUAAGCGCAGUAAUGUGUGUAGCUGACGAAUACUAAUCGAUCGAAGACUUAAUCAA